RNAcentral lists this ribosomal RNA (238 nucleotides) under uncultured bacterium. RNAcentral describes it as "partial 16S ribosomal RNA". It matches the Rfam family "Bacterial small subunit ribosomal RNA", at positions 524 to 762 of the family's 1533-position model. The record is from RNAcentral.
UACGGAGGGGCGUAGCGUUGUUCGGAAUUACUGGGCGUAAAGCGCGCGUAGGCGGACUGGAAAGUUGGGGUGAAAUCCCGGGCGUCAACCUCGGAACUGCCUUCAAAACUAUCAGUCUGGAGUUCGAGAGAGGUGAGUGGAAUUCCGAGUGUAGAGGUGAAAUUCGUAGAUAUUCGGAGGAACACCAGUGGCGAAGGCGGCUCACUGGCUCGAUACUGACGCUGAGGUGCGAAAGCGU